RNAcentral lists this ribosomal RNA (877 nucleotides) under Pseudomonas sp. Its description in RNAcentral is "bacterial SSU rRNA". It matches the Rfam family "Bacterial small subunit ribosomal RNA", at positions 59 to 930 of the family's 1533-position model. The record is from RNAcentral. Lineage: Bacteria; Pseudomonadati; Pseudomonadota; Gammaproteobacteria; Pseudomonadales; Pseudomonadaceae.
CAGUCGAGCGGAUGACGGGAGCUUGCUCCUUGAUUCAGCGGCGGACGGGUGAGUAAUGCCUAGGAAUCUGCCUGGUAGUGGGGGACAACGUUUCGAAAGGAACGCUAAUACCGCAUACGUCCUACGGGAGAAAGCAGGGGACCUUCGGGCCUUGCGCUAUCAGAUGAGCCUAGGUCGGAUUAGCUAGUUGGUGGGGUAAUGGCUCACCAAGGCGACGAUCCGUAACUGGUCUGAGAGGAUGAUCAGUCACACUGGAACUGAGACACGGUCCAGACUCCUACGGGAGGCAGCAGUGGGGAAUAUUGGCACAAUGGGCGAAAGCCUGAUCCAGCCAUGCCGCGUGUGUGAAGAAGGUCUUCGGAUUGUAAAGCACUUUAAGUUGGGAGGAAGGGCAGUAAGCUAAUACCUUGCUGUUUUGACGUUACCGACAGAAUAAGCACCGGCUAACUCUGUGCCAGCAGCCGCGGUAAUACAGAGGGUGCAAGCGUUAAUCGGAAUUACUGGGCGUAAAGCGCGCGUAGGUGGUUCGUUAAGUUGGAUGUGAAAGCCCCGGGCUCAACCUGGGAACUGCAUCCAAAACUGGCGAGCUAGAGUACGGUAGAGGGUGGUGGAAUUUCCUGUGUAGCGGUGAAAUGCGUAGAUAUAGGAAGGAACACCAGUGGCGAAGGCGACCACCUGGACUGAUACUGACACUGAGGUGCGAAAGCGUGUGGAGCAAACAGGAUUAGAUACCCUGGUAGUCCACGCCGUAUACGAUGUCAACUAGCCGUUGGAAUCCUUGAGAUUAUAGUGGCGCAGCUAACGCAUUAAGUUGACCGCCUGGGGAGUACGGCCGCAAGGUUAAAACUCAAAUGAAUUGACUGGGGCCCGCACAAGC